This 514-nucleotide ribosomal RNA is filed under the name bacterium PH-EB011. Its description in RNAcentral is "bacterial SSU rRNA". It matches the Rfam family "Bacterial small subunit ribosomal RNA", at positions 992 to 1504 of the family's 1533-position model. The record is from RNAcentral.
AGCGCACUCUAGAGAUAGAGCGUUCCCCUUCGGGGGACAGAGUGACAGGUGGUGCAUGGUUGUCGUCAGCUCGUGUCGUGAGAUGUUGGGUUAAGUCCCGCAACGAGCGCAACCCUUGAUCUUAGUUGCCAGCAUUUAGUUGGGCACUCUAAGGUGACUGCCGGUGACAAACCGGAGGAAGGUGGGGAUGACGUCAAAUCAUCAUGCCCCUUAUGACCUGGGCUACACACGUGCUACAAUGGAUGGUACAAAGGGCUGCAAGACCGCGAGGUCAAGCCAAUCCCAUAAAACCAUUCUCAGUUCGGAUUGUAGGCUGCAACUCGCCUACAUGAAGCUGGAAUCGCUAGUAAUCGCGGAUCAGCAUGCCGCGGUGAAUACGUUCCCGGGCCUUGUACACACCGCCCGUCACACCACGAGAGUUUGUAACACCCGAAGUCGGUGGAGUAACCGUAAGGAGCUAGCCGCCUAAGGUGGGACAGAUGAUUGGGGUGAAGUCGUAAAGGGGAAACCCGUA